This 432-nucleotide ribosomal RNA is filed under the name uncultured bacterium. Its description in RNAcentral is "partial 16S ribosomal RNA". It matches the Rfam family "Bacterial small subunit ribosomal RNA", at positions 28 to 506 of the family's 1533-position model. The record is from RNAcentral.
GACGAACGCUGGCGGCGUGCUUAACACAUGCAAGUCGUACGGUACGGUCCUGUCUGGGGUCCCAGGGGUGCGUACGGCGUGGUAACCUGCCCGUAACCUGCGCAUAACUCCCCGAUAACGCUGCUAAACUCGGACUAUUUCUGCGUACGUACGAUUUCUCGCUGUUGGGUGGGCCCGAGUUGGAGUGGGUAGUGAGUAGGGUAAAACCCGACCAAGGCGACGAUCCAGAGCUGGCGGGAGAGGAUGAUCAGGCACACUGGGAAUGAGACACGGCCCAGACGCCGACGGGAGGCAGCAGUGGGGAAUAGUGGACAAAGGGCGAAAGCCUGAUCCAGCAAUGCCGGGUGAGUGAUGAAGGCCUUAGGGUUGUAAAGCGCUGGUACCCGGGAUGAUAAUGACAGUACCGGGAGAAUAAGCUCCGGCGAACUCCGU